CGCUGGCGGCGUGCCUAACACAUGCAAGUCGAACGAUCUUUGAUUAUAGCAAUAUUAGUUAAAGAGGAGUGGCGAACGGGUGAGUAACACGUAGAUAAUCUGCCUUCAGACGGGGACAACUCAGGGAAACUUGUGCUAAUACCCGAUGAGACCACAAGAAGGGAUUUUUGUGGCCAAAGGCGGGCAGCAAUGCUCGUGCUGAAAGAUGAGUCUGCGUCCUAUCAGCUAGUUGGUGGGGUAAAUGCCUACCAAGGCUAAGACGGGUAGCCGGCCUGAGAGGGUGAACGGCCACACUGGGACUGAGACACGGCCCAGACUCCUACGGGAGGCAGCAGUGAGGAAUUUUCCGCAAUGGGCGCAAGCCUGACGGAGCGACGCCGCGUGAGGGAUGAACCAGCUUUCGGGUUGUAAACCUCUUUUAUUAAGGAAAAAGAUCUAUAUGCUAAUAUCAUGUAGAUUUGAUGGUACUUAUUGAAUAAGCCCCGGCUAACUACGUGCCAGCCGCUGC
RNAcentral lists this ribosomal RNA (508 nucleotides) under uncultured bacterium. RNAcentral describes it as "bacterial SSU rRNA". It matches the Rfam family "Bacterial small subunit ribosomal RNA", at positions 34 to 518 of the family's 1533-position model. The record is from RNAcentral.